RNAcentral lists this ribosomal RNA (253 nucleotides) under uncultured bacterium. RNAcentral's name for it is "partial 16S ribosomal RNA". It matches the Rfam family "Bacterial small subunit ribosomal RNA", at positions 524 to 776 of the family's 1533-position model. The record is from RNAcentral.
UACGUAGGGGGCUAGCGUUGUCCGGAAUCAUUGGGCGUAAAGAGCGUGUAGGCGGUCCGGUAAGUCCGCUGUGAAAGUCGGGGGCUCAACCCUCGAAUGCCGGUGGAUACUGUCGGGCUAGAGUGCGGAAGAGGCGAGUGGAAUUCCUGGUGUAGCGGUGAAAUGCGCAGAUAUCAGGAAGAACACCGGUGGCGAAGGCGGCCUGCUGGGCAGUUGCUGACACUGAGGCGCGACAGCGUGGGGAGCAAACAGG